UGGUGUUGCCCAUGUAGGUGGCGAAGUGGUCGCGGAAGGCGCGCAUGAAGUCGGCGUAGCACUGGAUGGGGGUGCGGCCCUUGAGCACGGGCAGCGCGUCGCAGCCCAGCGAGACGUACUCGUAAUUCCGGCGCCCGCUCCGGUCGGUGUAGGCCAGGUCCUGGUCCUUGUCCAUCUCCUCCAAAACCCAUUUCGGAAGUGGUAUGCUGCAACAACACACAAUAGCAACCUCGUCAGGGUCAGUUAUCAUACAGUGACCUCACAUCAGGUGUCCUAAACAUUCAUUAACGUUUCAAAAGAUCAUGUCCCUAAUUUUUUACGCAUAAACUGAAGCACCUCCAACUUACUUGAAAUGGGCAUUAAGAAUCUACAUGGACCUAGGCAGGAUCACAUGGCAGGAAACUAAAAAAAGCAUUGCUUCAGGCAUGGGCUCUGAACUUCUGAUCACGGAUCUCGUGGCAAAGUCACGUGUAGCGUCGGGCGUCGGCAGGAAGACGGGGAACUACGCCAGACGCCACCGCCCAACGAGGAAAGGACGAAUUUUUUUUCAGGCUAUCCGAAAGGUCAACUUGCGGUUCUGAACCACGGGACAAUUUUCAGGCUCAAAAUCGAUGCAUUUUUUUCAGGCUCUCAGCGUAAAGUUCAGUAAAAAAAAAAGUGCGGAUCUUUUUGAGACGUAAAGGGCCCGAUGACUUGGACAGUUCCAAUAACGUCAAAACACCAACGGCAGGCAGGAGAUCCGUGCAAUCUAAUGGACGUCAAAACACCAACGGCAGGCAGGAGAUCCGUGAAACAAUGUGAAGAUCAGAUCAGACACCCAACAGCAGAGCUUCAGAAUACUGAUGUUGAUCAGCUCAACAUAUGUCAAAUUAAUGCCGGGAAAUUUAACUCUAAUUCAGAGAACGUACGCCAAGGACAGCAACACUGGUAAUUGGUAAAGCAGGCAAAGAGAUUAGAGAUGGAGGAGGAGGUAGUGGACGUACGUGACUGAGUCGCCGACGUUGCCGCCGCACUGGUGGAAGGACAUGACGGCCUGCACCUUGAGCCCGUUCUUCCUGGCCAUCUCCAUGAGCUCCAUGUAGCCGUUGAAGUUGUACUGUCCGGGGCCCUCGGCCUCGGCGAUACCCCACCACACGUCCACCAUGAUGCCCUCGACGCCGGCGCUCUUGAGCGCCGCCAGGCUGGCCUCCACCGCCCUCCGCCGGUUGAGGCUGUUGCCGUCCUUGCGCACCGUGUCGAGCGGCAUCAUCACGAACACCGGCACGCCGGCCUUGCUCUUC
Molecule: long non-coding RNA, 1280 nt
Filed under: Setaria italica (foxtail millet)
Lineage: Eukaryota; Viridiplantae; Streptophyta; Magnoliopsida; Poales; Poaceae
Description: long non-coding RNA (SITA_LNC007395)
Source: RNAcentral